Molecule: ribosomal RNA, 329 nt
Filed under: uncultured eukaryote
Lineage: Eukaryota
Description: partial 18S ribosomal RNA
Rfam family: Eukaryotic small subunit ribosomal RNA
Source: RNAcentral
CCCUUAGAUGUCCUGGGCCGCACGCGCGCUACACUGAGUGUCUGAGGUACGAGUCUGCCUGGUCCGGCAAGGUCUAGGUAAUCGCUAAAAGACACAUCAUGCUUGGGAUAGAUUAUUGCAAAUAUUAAUCUUGAACGAGGAAUUCCUAGUAAGCGCAAGUCAACAGCUUGCGUUGAUUACGUCCCUGCCCUUUGUACACACCGCCCGUCGCUACUACUGAUUGGAUGUUUAAGCGAGGUUCUCGAACUGCUAGCGACUUAGCUUCGGUGAGGUCGCAGUGUGGGAAGUGAACCUAGCUUUGGUGUCUAGAGGAAGUAAAAGUCGUAACA